UUUUUUGUAUUUUUAGUAGAGACGGGGUUUCACCGUGUUAGCCAGGAUCGUCUUGAUCUCCUGACCUUGUGAUCCACCCACCUCGGCCUCCCAAAUUGCUGGGAUUACAGGUGUGAGCCACCGCACCUGGUCCAAGAACCCAAGUUUUAGAUCUAGAGUGAUGUCAGCAUGACAUUGAUUUCCUGAGGCCCAGGUGUGAAGGAGCUGAGGACAGCAGAGGGGUGAAGGAACUCAGCUACAGACAGCAGCAGCUGAUGCACAGGCCUCCCAGCGCCUGAAGUCACCUGGAAUUGGGAAGUGCUCAGAAGCUUACAAAGCUGCCUCGAGGAACAGUAAGAGGACCUUGUGCAUGAAUAAUUUGUUUCCACACUGCAGAAAGAAUCCCAGACUUCUUAGAGAACCCAGUGACUUUUUGCACCUUAAAUCUGUGAAAUCCUCAUGCUUUCUUCCAUAGUUCAAACAAACAUGAGGCAAAGCUAGACACAUUCCUGAAGGAACCCAAGAAAUUCCUCUCUUUCUGUCUCUGGAAUGAAAUGAAUUCUCUAGACCACCAGUUCUAACCUUCAAAAACCAAACCUGUUUGUGAGAUCUCCUUCAAAUACUACUGUAGACCCCAGUGUUUAUUCAUUAAAUUUUUUAAAUAUUUGUUUUAUUUGG
This 657-nucleotide long non-coding RNA is filed under the name Pan troglodytes (chimpanzee). RNAcentral's name for it is "lincRNA". Lineage: Eukaryota; Metazoa; Chordata; Mammalia; Primates; Hominidae. The record is from RNAcentral.